UCCAGAGUUUGAUCCUGGCUCAGAUUGAACGCUGGCGGCAGGCCUAACACAUGCAAGUCGAACGGUAACAGGAAGAAGCUUGCUUCUUUGCUGACGAGUGGCGGACGGGUGAGUAAUGUCUGGGAAACUGCCUGAUGGAGGGGGAUAACUACUGGAAACGGUAGCUAAUACCGCAUAACGUCGCAAGACCAAAGAGGGGGACCUUCGGGCCUCUUGCCAUCGGAUGUGCCCAGAUGGGAUUAGCUUGUUGGUGGGGUAACGGCUCACCAAGGCGACGAUCCCUAGCUGGUCUGAGAGGAUGACCAGCCACACUGGAACUGAGACACGGUCCAGACUCCUACGGGAGGCAGCAGUGGGGAAUAUUGCACAAUGGGCGCAAGCCUGAUGCAGCCAUGCCGCGUGUAUGAAGAAGGCCUUCGGGUUGUAAAGUACUUUCAGCGGGGAGGAAGGGAGUAAAGUUAAUACCUUUGCUCAUUGACGUUACCCGCAGAAGAAGCACCGGCUAACUCCGUGCCAGCAGCCGCGGUAAUACGGAGGGUGCAAGCGUUAAUCGGAAUUACUGGGCGUAAAGCGCACGCAGGCGGUUUGUUAAGUCAGAUGUGAAAUCCCCGGGCUCAACCUGGGAACUGCAUCUGAUACUGGCAAGCUUGAGUCUCGUAGAGGGGGGUAGAACUCCAGGUGUAGCGGUGAAAUGCGUAGAGAUCUGGAGGAAUACCGGUGGCGAAGGCGGCCCCCUGGACGAAGACUGACGCUCAGGUGCGAAAGCGUGGGGAGCAAACAGGAUUAGAUACCCUGGUAGUCCACGCCGUAAACGAUGUCGACUUGGAGGUUGUGCCCUUGAGGCGUGGCUUCCGGAGCUAACGCGUUAAGUCGACCGCCUGGGGAGUACGGCCGCAAGGUUAAAACUCAAAUGAAUUGACGGGGGCCCGCACAAGCGGUGGAGCAUGUGGUUUAAUUCGAUGCAACGCGAAGAACCUUACCUGGUCUUGACAUCCACGGAAGUUUUCAGAGGUGAGAAUGUGCCUUCGGGAACCGUGAGACAGGUGCUGCAUGGCUGUCGUCAGCUCGUGUUGUGAAAUGUUGGGUUAAGUCCCGCAACGAGCGCAACCCUUAUCCUUUGUUGCCAGCGGUCCGGCCGGGAACUCAAAGGAGACUGCCAGUGAUAAACUGGAGGAAGGUGGGGAUGACGUCAAGUCAUCAUGGCCCUUACGACCAGGGCUACACACGUGCUACAAUGGCGCAUACAAAGAGAAGCGACCUCGCGAGAGCAAGCGGACCUCAUAAAGUGCGUCGUAGUCCGGAUUGGAGUCUGCAACUCGACUCCAUGAAGUCGGAAUCGCUAGUAAUCGUGGAUCAGAAUGCCACGGUGAAUACGUUCCCGGGCCUUGUACACACCGCCCGUCACACCAUGGGAGUGGGUUGCAAAAGAAGUAGGUAGCUUAACCUUCGGGAGGGCGCUUACCACUUUGUGAUUCAUGACUGGGGUGAAGUCGUAACAAGGUAACCGUA
Molecule: ribosomal RNA, 1509 nt
Filed under: rumen bacterium enrichment culture clone Y14
Lineage: Bacteria
Description: 16S ribosomal RNA
Rfam family: Bacterial small subunit ribosomal RNA
Source: RNAcentral